ACCUCGGAUCAGGUAGGAAUACCCGCUGAACUUAAGCAUAUCAAUAAGCGGAGGAAAAGAAACCAACAGGGAUUGCCCUAGUAACGGCGAGUGAAGCGGCAACAGCUCAAAUUUGAAAUCUGGCUUCGGCCCGAGUUGUAAUUUGCAGAGGAUGUUUCUGGCGCGGUGCCUUCCGAGUUCCCUGGAACGGGACGCCACAGAGGGUGAGAGCCCCGUAUGGUUGGACACCAAGCCUGUGUGAAACUCCUUCAACGAGUCGAGUAGUUUGGGAAUGCUGCUCUAAAUGGGAGGUAAAUCUCUUCUAAAGCUAAAUACCGGCCAGAGACCGAUAGCGCACAAGUAGAGUGAUCGAAAGAUGAAAAGCACCUUGAAAAGGGGGUUAAAUAGUACGUGAAAUUGUUGAAAGGGAAGCACUUAUGACCAGACUUGGGCCGGGCGGCUCAUCAGGGGUUCUCCCCUGUGCACUCCGCCCGGCACAGGCCAGCAUCGGUUUUCGCGGGGGGAUAAGACCGUCAGGAACGUGGCACCCUCCGGGGUGUGUUAUAGCCUGGCGGACGAUACCCCCGC
RNAcentral lists this ribosomal RNA (567 nucleotides) under Phomopsis sp. BESC883a. RNAcentral's name for it is "eukaryotic LSU rRNA". It matches the Rfam family "Eukaryotic large subunit ribosomal RNA", at positions 1 to 582 of the family's 3401-position model. The record is from RNAcentral. Lineage: Eukaryota; Fungi; Ascomycota; Sordariomycetes; Diaporthales; Diaporthaceae.